ACUACAAUUGCUGGGCCAUAUUGAAUGCAUAGUCAGUGUAAGGAACUGCCAAACUACUUUGUACAGUGGCUGUUCCAUUUAUAUUCUUCCAAGUAAU
Molecule: microRNA precursor, 97 nt
Filed under: Marmota monax (woodchuck)
Lineage: Eukaryota; Metazoa; Chordata; Mammalia; Rodentia; Sciuridae
Source: RNAcentral